GACCCGCCCCUCACAGAUGUUGUCUGCAGGUCGCGAGCAGCAGUGAGGAGGACGGGGCGAGCUUGAUCUCCCCGACCCGGCGUCGCGCGCAGUUGGAAAAUGAGCGAAGAAUUAGAAUUGGUUUCUUAUAUAACGGAAGAAAACA
This is a long non-coding RNA of Lolium rigidum, 145 nucleotides long. RefSeq lists it as uncharacterized. The record is from RefSeq and is a predicted model, not a curated record. The transcript is spliced from 2 exons. Lineage: Eukaryota; Viridiplantae; Streptophyta; Magnoliopsida; Poales; Poaceae.